UUUCCGUAGGUGAACCUGCGGAGGGAUCAUUACAGAGUUCUCGCCCUCGCGGGUAGAUCUCCCACCCACCGUUAUCGUUACUGUGUUGCUUUGGCUGGCCGCCGGGCGCCGCUCGGCCGCCGGCUACCGCUAGCACCCGCCCGUCUGAGCAACAGCGCACUCAGAACGUUAAUGUCGCAAGAAUUCUAAAAAAUAGUUUAAACUUUCAACAACCGAUCUAUUGGUUCCGACAUCGAUGAAGCACGCAGCUGAUCGGAAGAACAAACGUCUGAACUCCUG
RNAcentral lists this unclassified non-coding RNA (279 nucleotides) under plant metagenome. RNAcentral's name for it is "partial contains small subunit ribosomal RNA, internal transcribed spacer 1, and 5.8S ribosomal RNA". The record is from RNAcentral.